UACGUAGGGGGCGAGCGUUGUCCGGAAUCAUUGGGCGUAAAGCGCGUGUAGGCGGCCGGUAAGUCCGCUGUGAAAGUCCAGGGCUCAACCCUGGGAUGCCGGUGGAUACUGUCGGGCUCGAGUCCGGAAGAGGCGAGUGGAAUUCCUGGUGUAGCGGUGAAAUGCGCAGAUAUCAGGAGGAACACCAAUGGCGAAGGCAGCUCGCUGGGACGGUACUGACGCUAAGGCGCGAAAGCGUGGGGAGCAAACAGG
RNAcentral lists this ribosomal RNA (252 nucleotides) under uncultured bacterium. Its description in RNAcentral is "partial 16S ribosomal RNA". It matches the Rfam family "Bacterial small subunit ribosomal RNA", at positions 524 to 776 of the family's 1533-position model. The record is from RNAcentral.